RNAcentral lists this ribosomal RNA (1542 nucleotides) under Escherichia coli. RNAcentral's name for it is "bacterial SSU rRNA". It matches the Rfam family "Bacterial small subunit ribosomal RNA". Lineage: Bacteria; Pseudomonadati; Pseudomonadota; Gammaproteobacteria; Enterobacterales; Enterobacteriaceae. The record is from RNAcentral.
AAAUUGAAGAGUUUGAUCAUGGCUCAGAUUGAACGCUGGCGGCAGGCCUAACACAUGCAAGUCGAACGGUAACAGGAAUCAGCUUGCUGAUUCGCUGACGAGUGGCGGACGGGUGAGUAAUGUCUGGGAAACUGCCUGAUGGAGGGGGAUAACUACUGGAAACGGUAGCUAAUACCGCAUAACGUCGCAAGACCAAAGAGGGGGACCUUCGGGCCUCUUGCCAUCGGAUGUGCCCAGAUGGGAUUAGCUUGUUGGUGGGGUAACGGCUCACCAAGGCGACGAUCCCUAGCUGGUCUGAGAGGAUGACCAGCCACACUGGAACUGAGACACGGUCCAGACUCCUACGGGAGGCAGCAGUGGGGAAUAUUGCACAAUGGGCGCAAGCCUGAUGCAGCCAUGCCGCGUGUAUGAAGAAGGCCUUCGGGUUGUAAAGUACUUUCAGCGGGGAGGAAGGGAGUAAAGUUAAUACCUUUGCUCAUUGACGUUACCCGCAGAAGAAGCACCGGCUAACUCCGUGCCAGCAGCCGCGGUAAUACGGAGGGUGCAAGCGUUAAUCGGAAUUACUGGGCGUAAAGCGCACGCAGGCGGUUUGUUAAGUCAGAUGUGAAAUCCCCGGGCUCAACCUGGGAACUGCAUCUGAUACUGGCAAGCUUGAGUCUCGUAGAGGGGGGUAGAAUUCCAGGUGUAGCGGUGAAAUGCGUAGAGAUCUGGAGGAAUACCGGUGGCGAAGGCGGCCCCCUGGACGAAGACUGACGCUCAGGUGCGAAAGCGUGGGGAGCAAACAGGAUUAGAUACCCUGGUAGUCCACGCCGUAAACGAUGUCGACUUGGAGGUUGUGCCCUUGAGGCGUGGCUUCCGGAGCUAACGCGUUAAGUCGACCGCCUGGGGAGUACGGCCGCAAGGUUAAAACUCAAAUGAAUUGACGGGGGCCCGCACAAGCGGUGGAGCAUGUGGUUUAAUUCGAUGCAACGCGAAGAACCUUACCUGGUCUUGACAUCCACAGAACUUUCCAGAGAUGGAUUGGUGCCUUCGGGAACUGUGAGACAGGUGCUGCAUGGCUGUCGUCAGCUCGUGUUGUGAAAUGUUGGGUUAAGUCCCGCAACGAGCGCAACCCUUAUCCUUUGUUGCCAGCGGUCCGGCCGGGAACUCAAAGGAGACUGCCAGUGAUAAACUGGAGGAAGGUGGGGAUGACGUCAAGUCAUCAUGGCCCUUACGACCAGGGCUACACACGUGCUACAAUGGCGCAUACAAAGAGAAGCGACCUCGCGAGAGCAAGCGGACCUCAUAAAGUGCGUCGUAGUCCGGAUUGGAGUCUGCAACUCGACUCCAUGAAGUCGGAAUCGCUAGUAAUCGUGGAUCAGAAUGCCACGGUGAAUACGUUCCCGGGCCUUGUACACACCGCCCGUCACACCAUGGGAGUGGGUUGCAAAAGAAGUAGGUAGCUUAACCUUCGGGAGGGCGCUUACCACUUUGUGAUUCAUGACUGGGGUGAAGUCGUAACAAGGUAACCGUAGGGGAACCUGCGGUUGGAUCACCUCCUUA